CAAACAAGCGGGACCAGGAUAAUAGCCAGCUACUAAUACUAGUGAUGGCGCUCAUGAAGAACGCAAUGGCAUUGUGCUUCAUAGCCCUUAUUCUCAUGCCUACCACUUUCUCAUCCUGUCGUGCAGCAGGGAGGAGCAUACCAGGUACAUUGGACCUUGGACCUAUUAUUGGGUGUAGAAAGAUGAAAGAAAUCUGCUCAAUUGAUGGGUGCACGGAGUUAUGCGCCUCCCUUGGUUGGGAUAUUUACAAAUGCAUUUGCAAAGAUAGUUCCCAUUGCUGCCACUAUGCGGCCGGUGGAAUAAUUUAAUUAAAUUGAUUGUAUUAUCUUCAUUUUAAGGAAUAAGAUGUUCUCGACUUA
This is a long non-coding RNA of Lolium perenne, 359 nucleotides long. RefSeq lists it as uncharacterized. The record is from RefSeq and is a predicted model, not a curated record. NCBI's taxonomy places the organism in Eukaryota, Viridiplantae, Streptophyta, Magnoliopsida, Poales, Poaceae.